GACGAACGCUGGCGGCGUGCUUAACACAUGCAAGUCGAACGGAAAGUCCCUGCUUUUGUGGGGUGCUCGAGUGGCGAACGGGUGAGUAACACGUGAGUAACCUGCCCUUGACUUUGGGAUAACUUCAGGAAACUUGGGCUAAUACCGGAUAGGAUCUCCUGCUGCAUGGUGGGGGUUGGAAAGUUUCGGCGGUUGGUGAUGGACUCGCGGCUUAUCAGCUUGUUGGUGGGGUAGUGGCUGACCAAGGCUUUGACGGGUAGCCGGCCUGCGAGGGUGACCGGACACAUUGGGACUGAGAUAAGGCACAGACUACAACGGUAGGCAGGAGUGGGGAAUAUUGCACAAGGGGCGGAAGGCUGAUGUAGCAACGCCGCGUGCGGGAUGACGGCCUUCGGGUUGUAAACCGCUUUCGCCUGUGCCGAAGCGUGAGUGACGGUACCGGGUAAAGAAGCACCGGCUAACUACGUG
RNAcentral lists this ribosomal RNA (468 nucleotides) under uncultured bacterium. Its description in RNAcentral is "partial 16S ribosomal RNA". It matches the Rfam family "Bacterial small subunit ribosomal RNA", at positions 28 to 507 of the family's 1533-position model. The record is from RNAcentral.